RNAcentral lists this long non-coding RNA (7696 nucleotides) under Lynx pardinus (Iberian lynx). The record is from RNAcentral. Lineage: Eukaryota; Metazoa; Chordata; Mammalia; Carnivora; Felidae.
GCGGGACUCGGGUGCGCCGCCGAGGCGGUCGUGUACCGGGGACCCUCCGGCCGCCGCGCCUCCGGAAUCACGGUGUGUCCGCCGGCCCGGGCGUGAGUCUCUGGGAAGGGGCGGAAUUCCGGCGGCGCGUCGCCCGGACGCUGGGGCGGACACCUGGGGGGGCGGCCGGGGGGCCGAAGGGACUGCGCCGGCCGGGCCGUGGCGGGUGGGUUGGCCUGCCCCCGCGCCCCUCGGCGUCCGUCUCCCCCACUCCCGGGGGCCUCACCUGCGGGAAGCCCCCCUCCCCGCCGCCCCGGGGACCCCGGAGGCCCGGGUCUGCCUGCGCUUUGGCCUUCUGCCCUCCCCGCCCGAAGAAAGUUAAGAAACGGACCCGCGGUGGGUUCUGCGCGUCGCCUCGAAGCUUGGGGUCACGGGCCGCACCUGCUCGGAAUCGGGUCUUGAGCCCCGGUGUUUGGCCUCUGACCUCGGCCCCCUGGUGUGCUUGCGUGUUAAUUGGAUCCAUCAAAGGCUUUUCUGGCACAGAAGUCUUGGUAUCCCACCCGACAGCCUCAGGAUUUCCUUCGUAGAUGAUUAUUACUACCACGACCACCACUGCUUUUUGCUUUUAAGGGUCGGCCGAGCCUAGUCUCCCAAGUCAGCGGGGCUCUGGGUUCCCUGAAAUGACUGAUGCCAAUGUGAUGUGUUUAUGGGCAUAAGAAAGGGCAGUCUUUACCUAAUGAGCUUUCCUUCUCUCUCUCCCUCCUCCAUUUUCAUCCUGUCUCUGCCAAAAAAAAAAAAAAAGACAUGAUUUUAUCAUCUUGUUAAUUCCCUCGUUAGCAAGAUAAUAAGGUUUGGCAGGUGGCCGGUAGAAAUUUAUCUAAGACACUUUCAUUUACAGUCUCUUCCCUGCCACUCAGAAAUAGGAGGGAGUUAAUGUGCCCAGAAAGCAGGCCCGGGUCUCAGGGGCCUGGGAGACGUUGGAGAUCUGUCCUCGGAUGCCAGUGGACGGGAACACCGAAGCGAGUGUGCCCCAAGCCAACCAGUUGCAAAUGGGUGACAGUUUCGUUUAGAAACCCGUGGCUCUCUGCUUCUCUUCAGACCAGGAGAACCCUGGCAAGAUGCAGCUGCCCUACCCUUCUAGACACUCUGCCCUUUCUCACCUUUCGCUCCCCAGUGCCCCUCACUUAACCCCAGAUGGGAGCUCGGGCUGCAGCCCUGACUGAUCUCACAUCGUCUGGCAGGUGGAGAACAGAUAGGCCCUAGACGGCGGCUGACGCCAGGUGGGCUCUUGUCCCGCGGCUCGCCUUGCACACCAGCUUUCCUUCGGUCGUGUCCUUUAUUCUCCCUUCCCCAAACUUGGCGUUAGCAGCCUUCUUCCAGGUCUCCCGUCCAACCCCAAAGCACGAUCUUGCCCUGAGUAAGAGGCAGAGAGAAGGUGGCCUUGCGACUUUGGGGGUGGCAUUGAGACCAGAACCCAAGUUAGAACUGGCUCCCAGAAAUCCAGAUCAGUAAAUGCUGCUAAAAUGCGCCCUGUGCGAGUCUGCUGGGAAUGGGGUGGGGCAUGUAUUGGAUGGGGCGGGAUUUGCUCCGUGGAUACUGGCGACAGGCUUGCGAGGAAAGAGAAAAAACCAUAUGGGGGAAGGAUUUUGAGAGCUGUGCCAGACCUCACAGGGAAUCUCGCCCGGGAUGUGCUCUAGGUCAGUAGGGUCUUUGCACUCGCCCCUCCUGCGUUAAUGUGCCGGAGCUGUGUGACAAAAUGCCACAGGCCGCGUGUCGGAAACAACAGAAGUGUAUUUUCUCCCAGUUCUAAAGGCUGGAAGUCCGGCAUCAGGAUGUUGACAGGUUUGGUUUCUUCCCAAGCCUCUCUCCUUAGCUUGGAUGGUCACCCCUCUGUGUUGUCUGUGUCCCGAUCCCCUCUUAUAAGGACAGGAAUGCUGUCGGUCGGGGCCCACCCCUACGUCCUCAUUUUACCUUAACUGCCUUUUUAAAGGCCCUGCCUCCAACUGCAGUCACAGUAUGAGCUCCUGGGGGUCAGGACUUCUACCUAUGAAUUUGGGGAGGGGGUGUGCAAAUUCAGCUCACUUCUGGGGACUGAGAUGGAUGUAUCACAUAUCCUGUUGACACAGUUUGGAGAAUCCCCAGCAGUGCGUCUCCCAGAGGAUUAUAGCACAGCUGCUUCGAAGUCGGCGUUAGCAGGUUUCUCCUGCACAUGAAAGCUAGGAUUUACUCUUCAUUUGACCAUUAGGUGUUUUAGGCUAUUUCUGCCAGUUAAUUUAAACUUCCUAGGUCUCUUACUAAUGGAAAAAUGCACAUCUUCGUAGCUAACAGAAGCAUUUUAAGGAAAGGAUGUUGCCUCUCCCCCGGGGCUGCUGAGGGAGAGAGAGCCUCGACGUUACAGAACAAGCAGUCUGGUUAAAUGAAGAGUUCUCCGGUGAGGUGUGCAACCUGGGAGAGAGUGAUUCAGAGUCUCACUGUGUUCCUGUUCUGUUCUCUGUUACAAUAGCACUUCCAAGGACAAAGCUGUAUUCACAAAGGGGGACUGUUAAAUUCCUAAAACUUGAAACAUUGUUGCCCUGUCUUGAUCAUUUCUUGCCCUGGAGAUAGCCAUGGAAAGUCCUAUUUCUGGAUUCCCGCAGUUACAACAUUAGGUAGAUUUAUCUGCCAGCCCGUAAUAGUUCUUCCCUCUGACAUACACGAUGGAAUGUUUGUCGCCCUGUGAAUUCUAUAUUUUAUUGUCUGACAAAUUAUUUCGUCUUGUUUUAAUUCUUAAAAUAUGGGGGGGGUUGUUUUGUUUUUUUUUGAAUCAGUAGACUUCAUUUUUUUUUUAAGAACAGUUUUAGUCUUUCAGACAAAUUGAGCACAAAGUACAGUUUCUCCUAUUAUUAAAGUUUCUCUUCUUAUUAACAACUUGCACUGGCGUGGUACAUGUGUUACAAUCGAUGAGCCAGGAUUUCCACAUAAUUACCUGAGGUCCACAGUCUACAUUCGGCCUCCCUCUUUGUAUACAGUGGAGUUUUGCUAAAUGCCUAAUGUCGCGUAUCCACCAUUACGGUAACAUACAGAACGGUUUCACUGCCCUCAAAAGCCCCCUGUACGCGGGGAGCCUGGGUGGCUCGGUCGGUUAAGCGUCCGACUUCGGCUCAGGUCAUGAGUUCGAGCCCCGCAUUGGGCUCUGCGCUGACAGCUCAGAGCCUGGAGCCUGCUUCGGAUUCUGUCUCCCUCUCUCUGCGCCUCCCCUGUUCAUGCUCUGUCUCUCUCUGUCUCAGAGAUGAGUAAACAUUAAGAAAAAAAAAUUUUUUUAAAUAAUUAUGCCAGGACAACAGGGAUAAACCCAGCCACCCUAGCACCAGACCAAAUGAUUUUCAUGCCGUAAAAGAUCUCUCAACGUUGGUCCCUUCAUCUUAAGAGCAGCUGUCUCCCUGCCUGUCCCUCUCCAGGCACACCGUCACCACACGCAGCGUUAGCCUGUGGGAUCUCUAGCCUCCUCAAUUAUUUUCUUUAAAAAUCAUUUUCUGUAUUGCGCCAGAAUUUGGGUUAAAACACACACACACACACACACACACACACACACACACACACACACACACCUUUUGUUCUCUAAGAAUUGUUCAAGCAUUUCUUUAGUGGUACGUUUGGGAGAGGAAAUAAAAAGAGGAUAAAUUAGGCCUAAGUUCACGGAACGUCUGGGGCCGCGUGUCCUCGGACGAGGGCGGGCGAGUCCCCUGGACCGGCAGACCCAUGCUGCGCUUCUGUGGCAGCAGGGGCUUCGUGACCCUCAGGAAUUUAGAAUAUUUAGAGGCGGGCGAAGGGCGCUGCAAGGGGAGAGAAGGGUCCUGCUAAUUUCACAUUAGCUUUUCACUGCAUUGCUGUUCAGCAUGAGAAUACAACUGUCCCUCCUGUUCAUAUCCUUCCCUGUUCCCAAAGUCCCUCACCAGGUCCCAAGGGCAACACUGACAGAUUCAGACACUUUGGCUCUUUCUUCUUCAUGCUAAUAUAUUUCUCCCUCUGUUGCACGAGGAGGAAGGGAGAAACAAAAUUUUCAGCGGCUCUAGUCAUGGUGAAAAAGUGGGGAGAAAAAUGGCUAAUUUGAUACUUUAGCACGACUUACAGGUGGGUCCUUUUGUUAGCCAAGGAACAUAAAAUCAAAACAGGUUUGCUCAAGGAUCAGGUUUGCCCACGAAGUAUCUAGAUAGUGAGGUCCAGCAAAAGAACACAACAGAACUUUGGAGCAGUUUAGGGACAAGGUAAUUUUUUUUUUUUCCUCAAAACGUUGUGGAGUGGGGCAGGGCAGAGGUUACAGAAUUCCCCAGGAAAUGGUUCAAGGGUGGGGGGUGGGCAGAGGUCUGAGCCGCUAGACUUGGCCUAAAGCUUUAAAAGAGUUCCCAUGCCACUUGGGAAUGGCAGCCACAGCCCCGGGUCCUAAUUACCCGACCCCAAAUAAAUCACCUUCUGUUCUGUGUGCUUCUGUGUGUUCCUGUCCCACCCCCAGUCCAAGGAAGAGAGUGCUACCUCAUCCCUUCCUCUGGACCCCCACCCUGUCUCCAGCCACCGGCUCUUUCUCGAUGCCCUUCGAUGUGGCUCUUGUCCCGAUUUUUACCUUUAUCCCUUCUUUUGUUAUCAUUGUUGUUUUCUGUUUUGGUUUUACUACAUGCAUGCGGUGUAGACAUGUCAUUUGGCUGUAUGCUUGUCAGUGGAUCUAUACUGUACAUAUUUGGCAAUCUGUUGUUUUUGCUCAACGUUACGUGCUUGAGAUUCAUCCUAAUCUCUUCGUUUCUGCUGCUGACUCGCGUUCCUUUGCAACGAUGCUAAUAAUGGAUUGAUCUCUUCUGCUACCGAAAGGCCAGUGGGUGGUGUAGAGGUUCGUAAACAUUCUCAUAGGGAUUUCCUGUGUUCAUCUCCAAGAAUUCCUCUAGGUAAACACCCAGAAGUGAAAUUGCUUUUCAGGAUAUUUUCAAAUUUAAUACACUAAUUUACACACAAAUAAACAGCACAGCCCAGCAGUGCAUGAUGCUUUAAUUGUUCCACAUCUGCUGGGCGCUUGAUUUUGUCAGGCCAUUUAGUUUCCACCAAUUUGAUGGCCGUGAAAUGUCAGUGUGUCUUUCUCUGUGUUACUAGUGAGGUUGGGCAUACUCGUACGUGCUUAUUCACCAUUCGUGCUGCUUCUAAGAAGUUCUUGUGAACACUUUUGCUCAUUGUUUUAAAAUUUUCAUUUUGCCCUUCUCUCGUGGAUCUGUAGCCAUUCUUUUUUUUUUUUUUAAUUUCUUAAUGUUUAUUUUUGAGAGACAGAGCACAACUUGGGGAGGGGCAGAGAGGGGGGGGGACACAGAAUCCCAAGCAGGCUCCAGGCUCCGAGCUGUCGGCACAGAGACCCACACGGGGCUCGAACUCAUGAACUCUAAGAUCAUGACCUGAGCCCAAGUUGGAGGUUCAACUGACUGAACCCAGGCGCCCCAGGAAUUCUUUGUAUAUUCUGGAUUUGGAUCCCUUGUCAGUUCUGUGUGUUAGGAAUAUCUUUACCCAGCUCGGAACCUAUCCUUUUACUUUUUUAUACUAUCUUCGAUUUGUACAAGUUCUUCAUUCUAAUACAGUCAACCUUGAAUGUUAAUGUAGUUCCAUCUGUCCGUCCAUCCCGUAAUGGCUUACACGCUUUGUGUUUGUUACAGAAAUCUUCCCGGAAGCAGUGUGAGGAAGGCAGAAGCCGCCGCCCUCCCUGGCCUGGCGAAGCCACCCGCCACCAUGCCCAAGAGAAAGGCAAAAGGCGAUGCUAAAGGUGACAAAGCCAAGGUGAAGGGUGAGCCGCAGAGGAGAUCUGCGCGGCUGUCUGCCAAACCCGCUCCCCCAAAACCGGAAGCCAGGCCUCCAAAGGCCGCUGCCAGGAAGGCCGAGAAGCGGCCCAAGGGGAGAAAGGGGAAAGCAGAGGGCGACAGGGUUGGGGACAAGGCCGGGGACAAGGCCGGGAAGAACCCGGACGCUUCCACGGCCCCGUCACAGAAAGCAGAAGGCAGCGGGGACGCCAAAUGAAAUGUACUUUUUUCAUAACUCAACUUCUAGUGACGCUGCUGUUCGAGAUACUGUCUGUCUUCAAUCAGCUUUUAUAAAAGUGUAGAACUUGGGCUCCUAUUUCCAACUUCCGCCGUUGGCAUACAAGACGCAUUGUUGUUGUCCCCCGUGGAAAGCGCAAAUCCCGCUGACAGAAUGUCUCCGGGGCCCGAUUGAAAUGGGGGGAGAUGGCGCCUCGUGUCCUCACUGUUGAAGAUUAUUCUCGGUUCCCGGGAGGGGUCUCCUGUCAGCCCCCCCGGGCUCAGAAGCAGAAGCAAGACCUCAUGGCUUCUCUCCUGAGGCGAGCGGCAUACACUGGCCUUCCUGGAAUAGUCACGACGCGGCCUUGGCGCCCCCAGCCUCCUGUCGGGUGAUCGCACUCAGGCCUUCUGGCCGUAACAGCAACGUGGCGCUGCCCCAAAGAGCCAGGAUCCCUGUGUGUAGUUGGCGGGCGAUCCCAGUGGCCAUCCUGGACUUUUUAGCUCCUCGCCCCCACGUCAGAGUUGACCCGUGAAAAGAUCUCACGUACCUCAUGCGAAAUGUCCACGCCUCCCGAGAACGUCACCUUUUCGGAAGAGCAGCAGAAGACCGUUGACUUGGGGGGGGCGGGGGGGGGAGUUUGAAUGUUGUCGGGCGUCGUGUGGGUUGAUUGUCACCCGUGUCCUCCUGGAAGUGGCUGGUCCUGGAAAGUCUCUCAUAAAAGCUGAACGCACAUUAGCCUGGUGGGAGGGGGAUCAUUUCCCACCCACAGCCCUAGAGAUGUUCUUUCCUGCACCUUAAACAUAGUUUUGCGUUUCACACUCGUCCGCAGUCUUCUCUGCACCGAUCGGCGUGCAAAGUACGAGAUAGAAGUUCAACAUGAUACUGUGUCCAGGUGGGUGAGCCGUGGUCGCCGCUGCGCCAUUUUCUGAAGAGUUCAUUCCUUCCCAUGGGUCCGGAACAGCAGCUCUUUCGAAAACGGAGUCUCUUGGGGGCGGGUGGGGACUCUCUUCUGACUCACUGGUCAGUUUGCCCAACCCCACGGCAGCGCAGUAUAGUCCUGAGCACUACAGCUUUUAGAAAGAGGUCUUGGUAUCUCAGGACAAAUCUCGCCUCCACCUCCAAAAUAAAGUCCCCACCAGACUUGUCUUCUUCGGGAGCAUCGUGGCCAUCCUCAGCCGUUUGCUAACGGCUUUUAGAAUUAGAUUUGCUACAACUUUGAGAAUUAGAUUGAUCAGUCCUUUUCUUUUUAAGUUUGUUUUAAUGUCUAUUCGUUUUUGAGAGACAGAGUGCGCGUAGGGGAGGGGCAGAGAGAGAGGGAGACACAGAAUCCCAAGCAGGCUCCGGGCUCCGAGCUGUCAGCACGGAGCCUGACGUGUGGCUCGAACUCACGAAUCGCGAGAUCGUGACCUGAGCCGACGUCGGGCGCUUAGCCGACUGAGCCACCCAGGCGCCCCUAGCUUGACCAGUUCUAAAACAAAACAAAAAUGCUGGAAUUUUUAUUGGACUUAUAUUGAAUUCAUAGACUAAUUACAACGUCGAGUCUUCCCUUGAACAUGAUGUAGCUCUUCAUUUAUUUAACCUUUGUAAGUGUCUUUCAAUAAAGUUUUCUAAUUUUCUCCAUAAAUGUCUAUUGUUAAUAUUUCCUAGGGACUUUAUACUUUUUGAUGCUGUUUUUGUGGUAUGUUUUUAGUUCCUG